UACGGAGGAUGCAAGCGUUAUCCGGAUUUAUUGGGUUUAAAGGUGCGCAGGUGGUUUAAUAAGUCAGUGGUGAAAGUCUGUCGCUUAACGGUAGGAUUGCCAUUGAUACUGUUAGACUUGAAUAUGGAUGAGGUAGGCGGAAUGUGUAGUGUAGCGGUGAAAUGCAUAGAUAUUACACAGAACACCGAUUGCGAAGGCAGCUUACUAAUCCAUCAUUGACGCUGAGGCACGAAAGCGUGGGGAGUCAAACAGGA
This 254-nucleotide ribosomal RNA is filed under the name uncultured prokaryote. RNAcentral's name for it is "partial 16S ribosomal RNA". It matches the Rfam family "Bacterial small subunit ribosomal RNA", at positions 524 to 777 of the family's 1533-position model. The record is from RNAcentral.